RNAcentral lists this microRNA precursor (192 nucleotides) under Oryza nivara. RNAcentral describes it as "MIR812 microRNA precursor family". It matches the Rfam family "MIR812 microRNA precursor family". Lineage: Eukaryota; Viridiplantae; Streptophyta; Magnoliopsida; Poales; Poaceae. The record is from Rfam by way of RNAcentral.
UAUUAGUUACUCUCACCUUCCCAUUGACCGUCCUUAUUUAAAACAUUUUUGUGAUUAAUAUUUUUAUUAUUAUUAGAUGAUAAAACAUGAAUAAUAUUUUAUGCAUGGCUUAUUUUUUUUUAUUUUUUUCAUAUUUUUUUAAAUAAGACGGACAAUCAAGCGUUGUAUAUGUAAACCACAACUACAUUUAAA